Molecule: unclassified non-coding RNA, 253 nt
Filed under: uncultured Cytophagales bacterium
Lineage: Bacteria; Pseudomonadati; Bacteroidota; Sphingobacteriia; Sphingobacteriales
Description: contains 16S-23S intergenic spacer region
Rfam family: Bacterial small subunit ribosomal RNA
Source: RNAcentral
UACGGAGGGUGCAAGCGUUGUCCGGAUUUAUUGGGUUUAAAGGGUGCGUAGGCGGGCCUUUAAGUCAGUGGUGAAAGCCCACAGCUCAACUGUGGAACCGCCAUUGAUACUGAAGGCCUUGAGUACCGUUGAGGUAGGCGGAAUUUAUGGUGUAGCGGUGAAAUGCAUAGAUACCAUAAAGAGCACCGAUAGCGUAGGCAGCUUACUAAACGGUAACUGACGCUGAGGCACGAAAGCAUGGGUAGCGAACAGG